This 543-nucleotide unclassified non-coding RNA is filed under the name Hevea brasiliensis (rubber tree). Lineage: Eukaryota; Viridiplantae; Streptophyta; Magnoliopsida; Malpighiales; Euphorbiaceae. The record is from RNAcentral.
UUGACGACACCCUGAACUUAUCACAUAAGCUCUCUUGGUCUCGUCUUAUUCCCAAUUUGUGAUAUUAAUACAUGUGCUGAUUGUUGUUUAUCCUAUGGUUCGUAAAUCACAGAGCUUGGAAAGAGGGAAUUGUGGAUCAAAAUAAGAACCAUUCAGAAUGGCCUGUGUUACAAUUUUAUUUACAGCCUCUGUAGCAUGUAUCCCAUCCCAACUAACGUAGUUCCCAGGAUCUGCACAAGCAGCUGCAGUGACGUUCCUGCCAUUUAUCACCUUGCUAUUUCCACAGUAAACUCGUUGGUCGUAGUUGUAAUCCCCACCGCCGAAUCCACAACAAGCUUUAGUUCCAUAGCGAAGCCCGUGCUCUUUUGGGUGACGAAACAGGUCGAGCAUCACGGAAUGAGUAUCGACAUACACGAUGGAAGCAUCAAGAAUCUGUUCUCGAGUUAGACGGAGUUUCUCCUUCAACAAACUGUUGUAGUAAUCCACAGCAUUAUUGUAUGAAAUCAUGCAGCCGUACAUGUCGAUGUCGGAGUCGUCGUGUGG